AUGAUGCGAAGCGUAACAAGAGGGAGCGUUGCCAAUAUGUACCUCGUGGUCACGCCGUCAGGCCAACUCCUGCAGGUGUGGAGGAUGCUGGAUAACAUAGAUGUUCCGCUCAAGAAUCGUCUGUCAUACAAAGACAUCGUGCGCUUCGCGCUCCAUGGUUGCAUUGAUUUGGCAUACAAGAAUGGCAGCGACAAGCACACUGAAACCACGGUCAAUGACCAACAACCGAUUGAUGUUGAGGAGGAUGAGCUGCCUGAUAAUGAGGUCACCACAACGGAGGUCCUAGUCUUCAAGGUUGACACGGAUAGGCAGAAACUGAUAGAGCUUCGGGACAUUGGAGACUGCAUGAUCUUUCUUGGGUUCAAUGCCGCCGUGUGCCUUUCCUCUAAGGACACAACAUUAGAACCAAACUGCAUCUAUCUCACAGACGAUGUCGACUCUCCAUCAUAUCACCCCAUGUUGCGGAAAGAUCUUGGUAUCUGGAACAUCAGGAAGAGGAGUAUGCAGAGCAUUCGUGAUGCGUGGCCAAUUAUGCAUUCUAGGCUAGAUUUACCGGCUUCAAUUUGGAUCACACCAAGUUUAGCUACCGGAGCAGAAAAACAAUACUAG
RNAcentral lists this ribosomal RNA (609 nucleotides) under Triticum aestivum (bread wheat). Its description in RNAcentral is "partial small subunit ribosomal RNA". Lineage: Eukaryota; Viridiplantae; Streptophyta; Magnoliopsida; Poales; Poaceae. The record is from RNAcentral.